Picea glauca (white spruce) is the source of this 123-nucleotide non-coding RNA. The record is from Rfam. Lineage: Eukaryota; Viridiplantae; Streptophyta; Pinopsida; Pinales; Pinaceae.
AUGUACAUUCCUACAAUGUAGCAUUAAUGCUUCAGAUCCCAUUAGAAAUCCGUAGUUAAGCACACUUGGGCUAGAGUAGUACUGGGGUGGGUGACCGCCCCGGAAGUCCUAUUGUUUUACAUG